GGAGUGGUAGCUCAGCCGGUUAGAGCGCCUGCCUGUCACGCAGGAGGUCGAGGGUUCAAGUCCCUUUCACUCCG
This 74-nucleotide transfer RNA is filed under the name Candidatus Falkowiibacteriota bacterium. RNAcentral's name for it is "tRNA-Asp". It matches the Rfam family "tRNA". Rfam says of the family: Transfer RNA (tRNA) molecules are approximately 80 nucleotides in length. Lineage: Bacteria; Candidatus Falkowiibacteriota. The record is from RNAcentral.